AGUUUGAUCCUGGCUCAGAUUGAACGCUGGCGGCAGGCCUAACACAUGCAAGUCGAACGGUAACAGAGAGUAGCUUGCUACUUUGCUGACGAGUGGCGGACGGGUGAGUAAUGUCUGGGGAUCUGCCUGAUGGAGGGGGAUAACUACUGGAAACGGUAGCUAAUACCGCAUAAUGUCGCAAGACCAAAGCGGGGGACUUUCGGGCCUCGCACCAUCAGAUGAACCCAGAUGGGAUUAACUAGUAGGUAGGGUAAUGGCUUACCUAGGCGACGAUCCCUAGCUGGUCUGACAGGAUGACCAGCCACACUGGAACUGAGACACGGUCCACACUCCUACGGGAGGCAGCAGUGGGGAAUAUUGCACAAUGGGCGCAAGCCUGAUGCACCCAUGCCGCGUGUAUGAAGAAGGCCUUCGGGUUGUAAAGUACUUUCAGUCAGGAGGAAGGGUGUGAAAUUAAUACUUUCAUGCAUUGACGUUACUGACAGAAGAAGCACCGGCUAACUCCGUGCCAGCAGCCGCGGUAA
RNAcentral lists this ribosomal RNA (524 nucleotides) under uncultured bacterium. RNAcentral's name for it is "bacterial SSU rRNA". It matches the Rfam family "Bacterial small subunit ribosomal RNA", at positions 10 to 523 of the family's 1533-position model. The record is from RNAcentral.